Non-coding RNA from Salmo salar (Atlantic salmon), 65 nucleotides. The record is from Rfam. Lineage: Eukaryota; Metazoa; Chordata; Actinopteri; Salmoniformes; Salmonidae.
AUGACUGAUUUCUUCUGGUGUUUAGAGCCCCUUACAGCCUUCUAGCACCAUUUGAAAUCGGUUAU